GGGGCGGUAGUUCAGCGGCCUAGAAUGCCAGACUGUCGAUCUGGAUGUCGCGGGUUCGAAUCCCGUCCGCCCCG
RNAcentral lists this transfer RNA (74 nucleotides) under bacterium. RNAcentral describes it as "tRNA-Asp". It matches the Rfam family "tRNA". From Rfam's summary of the family: Transfer RNA (tRNA) molecules are approximately 80 nucleotides in length. Their secondary structure includes four short double-helical elements and three loops (D, anti-codon, and T loops). RNAcentral also lists the same sequence under 1 other name. The record is from RNAcentral.